AUUGCACCAUUGCACUCCAGUGUGGGCGACAAAGUGAAAUUCUGUCUCAAAAACAACAACAACAACAACAACAAAAUCAACAAGAAAAAAGUGUGGAAAAGGUUUGCUUGAACCAAACAACCUGUCAACUUUCUAAGAGGAAUUAGGCCCUCAUAAAAGCCAGCCAACGUGUAUAUUGACUGUGUUCCUUAUAAAAUGUCUUUUUUUGUGUCCUGAAGAUGAUCAUUGUGUCCUGAUACUUAAGUGACCCUUGGGACUGAUCUGACUGAGUUGACCGCUAGAAGACUGAUUGCUUAGAAGGAAGUUGAUCAGACUGUGGGCAAAGGCAAUCUGACAUCUCUUCUGCUCUGAAGGUGCUUGACAGAUGCUAAUCCUUGCACUAACCAGAUUCAAAGACCUGAAACUUGCAUGGAGAGCCAGGUGGGCUGCAGCCACUGUAAAGGAGCUUCUUCUGCCUCAUGGUUUCUCAACCUUGGCACUAUUGCCAUUUGGGGCUGGACGCUUCCUUGUUGUGGGAGACUGUCUUGCACGUUGUCCUGACCUCUACCGCUAGAUGCCAGAGGCACCCUGUACUCCAUUUGUGACAAACAAAAUGUCUCUAGACAUUGCCAAGUGUUCCCUAGGGGCAAAAUUGCACUCCCCCCACACACACACACCCAAUUGAAAACCACUGGAAUAGGGCAACGUUUUCAAACUAGGGUGUAUCAGAAUCUCCUAGAAGGCUUGUUGAAACACAGAUUCUUGGGCACCAUCCUGAGUUUGAUUCAAUAAGUUUUGGGUGAGACCUGAAAAUUUUCAAUUCUCUAAAAACUUUCUGGAUAACAACACAUUCUCAACUAGCUCAGCUUAGUUCUACUUAGAACAGAGGGUGAAGUUCUGCUUUCACUCUUCCCUCCUUAAUACAAGGUGUGCAAGUCCCUACUUUCCUACAAAGCCUGGCUUGAUCAGCCUUCCUCCUCUAGCCAUAUGUUUUGGGUAUCAGCACUAUAUUCAGCUCCCGAGAAUGGCUCUCAUAGCAUCUGAGUCAUGUGUAGUGAUCCCAUUCUUCUUGCCAGUGAUCAGUAGAGACAUAUGAUAAAAUUCUGGCUAACGAGAUGUGAGGUGAUGUUUUAUCUCAUUUUUAAAAGGAGGAACAAAAAGGAGACAGCUGCAGUCUCGUACUGAGCAUUAGUUUUAGAUGUGAUGCCUGGUACUGUGGCAGACAUAUUGUGACUAUCAGGAGAACAAUCUUAGUGUAGUGCUGAUGCACCCGGGAUGGCAGUGAAGGAAGAUGGAAAGAACCUGGAUCCGUGAUAAUGGCUUCGAAGCUGUCGAAUUAGCCAACCCUGGAUUCUCUCUUAUCUGGACUUAGGUGUAAUCCACUCUGAAUUUUUGUUAUUUCUAGCAAAGUAUCCUGACUCUAGCAUGGAUAGAUACAGAUAGCAUGUGUCUAGAGCUGUGCUGUCUGAUAUAAUAGCCACUAGCCACAUAUGGCUAUUGAAAUUCUAUUUAAGCAAAAUUAAACCUUUGCCUUUCCUUUUGCACUAGGUACGUUGCAAGUGGUCAAUAGCCACAUGUUGCUAGGGGCUACCGUAUUGCAUAGCACUGGUCUUAUAGAUCUUAUAGGUUAGGUGGAUUCUCAAUUUUUCUUCACACUCUUUUUCUAAUUGUUCCCUCUCUAUAAGAUUUUAAUUCCAUAUAUAUUAUAUGUGCUCUAUCUACGCCUGUUCCUUACACAUUGGAAAGAGUAAGACUUAUCCCCUCUCUAUUCCUCCAGAACCAAUUUUCACCUCCUUGGAGGUUGAGACUGUUCCCUGUUGCAAAUACAUGGCUAGUGUGGUAGUCAUAAGUAAGUUUAGGCAGGGAUUUUAGGUCACUGUAAAGAAUUUGGAUUUUAUUAAAAUUAGGAAACAAUGAAAGAAUUUUAAGGAUAGGAUUGGCGGGGUCAGUUUUGCCUUUAGAAAGUCACUUCAUAGGCAGAGGGGCCAAGAUAGCUGAUUAGAAGCAGCUGCAGUACUCAUGGAGAGGAAUGAAAGUGGCGAGUGAACUUAGCACCUUCAACUGAAAUAUCCAGGUUCUUGCAUUGGGACUGAUUAGGCAAACAACUUGACCCACAGAGAACAAAGAAAAGAAGGAUGGGGUGAUGACCCAACUGGGAACAGCCUGGAACCAAAGGAACUCAGCCAAGGGAAGUGGUGAGUGUGGUGCAGCCCCAGUCAGGAAACCACACUUUCCCCGUGGAUCUUUGCAACCUGCAGAUCAGGAGAUCCUCUUGUGAGCCCACACCACUAGGAGCCUUUUAAACAUAUGAAUGUAUGCUGAUGCUUUCAUUUUAUCCUGAGCUCCCUCAUCACACCCUAAAUCCAGAGCUUCUUACUCAAACUUCAUCAAGUUCUGCAUGCCGUGUUAUAUGCUGCCCCACCAAACUGAGUUUAACAGUGCUGCCCAAAACUUUAAAAGCAUUAUCUAACUGCUAACUUCUCUUCAUUCUCAUCAAGCCUUAUUGUGUGAUGCUAUGCCCCUUACGGACAUACAUACUGUAUGUCAUUCAAUCUAAAAUUCUACUAAAUAUAAGUUCCAUAAUUUCUUGCACCGCUAAGAAAUAUAAAACCUUGCCAAUUAAACUAUGACAAUACUUUUUUUAACCACUUAAAAUUUUCAUUUUAAAAAUUUUAAAGGGGUUCUUUUAGACCAGGGAUUUGCAAACUAUAGCUCAUGGUCCAAAUCCAACCACCUGUUCUUGUAAAUAAAGUUUAAUUGAGAAGUAGCCAAGUUCAUUGGUUUCCCUUUUGGCUGCUUUUGCACUACAAUGGGAGAAGUGAAUAGCUGGGACAAAGAUAGGAUGGCCUUUAGAGGCAGAAAUAUUUAUCUGGCCAACCCCUGCUCUUGCUUCAUUUAGACACAUUUUU
This is a long non-coding RNA of Sapajus apella (tufted capuchin), 2888 nucleotides long. RefSeq lists it as uncharacterized. The record is from RefSeq and is a predicted model, not a curated record. Lineage: Eukaryota; Metazoa; Chordata; Mammalia; Primates; Cebidae. The transcript has 2 exons.